AUUUUACUUCUCAGCUGUGUUUUUCAUUCAUAGAGACCCGCUCCUCUGAAGGCUGCACCCAAACCAAAAAAGAAAGACAAAGCAUCCAAUGUCAAAAAGGAGGAUAAAAAGACCAAGGUGAAGGCCAAGGAGAGCUCAGAGUCUGCAGGCAGCGAGGAGAACCACUCUGAAAAUUGAGAGGCCAAGACCAAAGCGGUCACACAGACUCAAAGAAACGAAGGAAGCGAAGUCUGAGUAGCACUCUUGCCUCUCAUCAACACUGUCGUCGCAGUUCCUCAUCACUCCCAGUGUUGUGUCAUUGUCAACCUCCAAGGCAUAUUGUUCACAGAGAAAUAUUUUUAUUAAUGGUUUUAUAAGCAUCAGCAUGGAUUUUUAGCACAAACUGAAGCUAAAUGCUGAGCACCUUGUAGAUUUGCAGUGAU
This is a long non-coding RNA of Sinocyclocheilus rhinocerous, 422 nucleotides long. RefSeq lists it as uncharacterized. The record is from RefSeq and is a predicted model, not a curated record. NCBI's taxonomy places the organism in Eukaryota, Metazoa, Chordata, Actinopteri, Cypriniformes, Cyprinidae. The transcript has 3 exons.